AGUGCCUAUAGCUAUGGCAGGUACCUGCAUCCUUGUUUUUGUUUAGUGGAUCCUCUAUCCUUCAGAGACUCUGGAACCCCUGUGCUCUUCUCCUCAUCUAGUGACCCUGAGGUGAUGGAGUUUUCAAGUCCUUCCAGAGAGGAAUGUCCCAAGCCUUCGGGUAGGGUAAGCAUCAUGGCUGGCAGCCUCACAGGAUUGCUUCUACUUCAGGCAGUGUCGUGGGCAUCAGAUGAGUGCCUUCAGCCGCUACAAGAGCAGAAGCAGUGGGCAUUGGAUGGAGCUGAGUACAGGACCAUACAGGCUAAUUGCACCGGCACAGGCCUGCUACUGAUCCUGCAGCCAGAAGUUCCAGAAAGUGAAGGGAUUUGGAGGGGCCGUGACAGAUGCAGUGAAAUAAGAUUUCGCCGCCUAUCAUCUGCUAACUGCUACGGACUCAGGCUCAGAAAGGCCUGCGCUUCACCCAGGAAUCGGAUAUAACAUCAUCUGGGUACCCAUGGCCAGCUGUGACUUCUCCAUCCGCACCUACACCUAUGCAGACACCCCUGAUGAUUUCCAGUUGCACAACUUCAGCCUCCCAGAGGAAGAUACCAAGCUCAAGAUACCCCUGAUUCACCGAGCCCUGCAGUUGGCCCAGCGUCCCGUUUCACUCCUUGCCAGCCCCUGGACAUCACCCACUCGGCUCAAGACCAGGGGAGCGGGGAAUGGGAAGGGGCCACUCAAGGGACAGCCCAGAGACAUCUACCACCAGACCUGGGCCAGAUACAUUGUGAAGUUCCUGGAUGCCUAUGCUGAGCACAAGUUACAGUUCUGGGCAGUGACAGCUGAAAAUGAGCCUUCUGCUGGGCUGUUGAGUGGAUACCCCUUCCAGUGCCUGGGCUUCACCCCUGAACAUCAGCGAGACUUCAUUGCCCGUGACCUAGGUCCUACCCUUGCCAACGGUACUCACCACAAUGUCCGCCUACUCAUGCUGGAUGACCAACGCUUGCUGCUGCCCCACUGGGCAAAGGUGGUACUGACAGACCCAGAAGCAGCUAAAGGCCUGUGUGGGUUCCAAGUUCUGGGAGCAGAGUGUGCGGCUAGGCUCCUGGGAUCGAGGGAUGCAGUACAGCCACAGCAUCAUCACAAACCUCCUGUACCAUGUGGUCGGCUGGACCGACUGGAACCCAUCAUUGUAGACAUCACCAAGCACACGUUUUACAAACAGCCCAUGUUCUACCACCUUGGCCACUUCAGCAAGUUCAUUCCUGAGGGCUCCCAGAGAGUGGGGCUGGUUGCCAGUCAGAAGAACGACCCGGACGCAGUGGCACUGAUGCAUCCCGAUGGCUCUGCUGUUGUGGUCGUGCUAAACCGCUCCUCUAAGGAUGUGCCUCUUACCAUCAAGGAUCCUGCUGUGGGCUUCCUGGAGACAAUCUCACCUGGCUACUCCAUUCACACCUACCUGUGGCGUCGCCAGUGAUGGAGCAGAUACUCAAGGAGGCACUGGGCUCAGCCUGGGCAUUAAAGGGACAGAGUCAGCUCACACGCUGUCUGUGACUAAAGAGGGCACAGCAGGGCCAGUGUGAGCUUACAGCGACGUAAGCCCAGGGGCAAUGGUUUGGGUGACUCACUUUCCCCUCUAGGUGGUGCCAGGGGCUGGAGGCCCCUAGAAAAAGAUCAGUAAGCCCCAGUGUCCCCCCAGCCCCCAUGCUUAUGUGAACAUGCGCUGUGUGCUGCUUGCUUUGGAAACUGGGCCUGGGUCCAGGCCUAGGGUGAGCUCACUGUCCGUACAAACACAAGAUCAGGGCUGAGGGUAAGGAAAAGAAGAGACUAGGAAAGCUGGGCCCAAAACUGGAGACUGUUUGUCUUUCCUGGAGAUGCAGAACUGGGCCCGUGGAGCAGCAGUGUCAGCAUCAGGGCGGAAGCCUUAAAGCAGCAGCGGGUGUGCCCAGGCACCCAGAUGAUUCCUAUGGCACCAGCCAGGAAAAAUGGCAGCUCUUAAAGGAGAAAAUGUUUGA
Molecule: long non-coding RNA, 1994 nt
Organism: Homo sapiens (human)
Lineage: Eukaryota; Metazoa; Chordata; Mammalia; Primates; Hominidae
Gene: GBA1LP
Product: glucosylceramidase beta 1 like, pseudogene
Source: Ensembl